Molecule: ribosomal RNA, 187 nt
Filed under: uncultured Staphylococcus sp.
Lineage: Bacteria; Bacillati; Bacillota; Bacilli; Caryophanales; Staphylococcaceae
Description: partial 16S ribosomal RNA
Rfam family: Bacterial small subunit ribosomal RNA
Source: RNAcentral
GAAACCGGAGCUAAUACCGGAUAAUAUAUUGAACCGCAUGGUUCAAUAGUGAAAGACGGUUUUGCUGUCACUUAUAGAUGGAUUCGCGCUGCAUUAGCUAGUUGGUAAGGUAACGGCUUACCAAGGCAACGAUGCAUAGCCGACCUGAGAGGGUGAUCGGCCACACUGGAACUGAGACACGGUCCAG